UUAAGUUCAGCGGGUAUUCCUACCUGAUCCGAGGUCAACCUUAAAAAAUAGGGGGUUUAACGGCUAGAUCACACUGCUUUCCAGAGUGAGGUAAAUUACUACACAGAGGAAGCUACAGCGAGACCGCCACUAGUUUUCAGGGCCAGCCGUUUAACGGGCUGAUCCCCAACACCAAGCUAAGCUUGAGGGUAUAAAUGACG
Molecule: unclassified non-coding RNA, 200 nt
Filed under: Sordariomycetes sp.
Lineage: Eukaryota; Fungi; Ascomycota; Sordariomycetes
Description: partial internal transcribed spacer 2
Source: RNAcentral